Molecule: ribosomal RNA, 582 nt
Filed under: Nesterenkonia sp. CY-C1-10
Lineage: Bacteria; Bacillati; Actinomycetota; Actinomycetes; Micrococcales; Micrococcaceae
Description: bacterial SSU rRNA
Rfam family: Bacterial small subunit ribosomal RNA
Source: RNAcentral
GUGAGUAUCACGUGAGUAACCUUCCCUUAACUCUGGGAUAAGCCCGGGAAACUGGGUCUAAUACCGGAUACNACCAGUCCUCGCAUGGGGUGCUGGUGGAAAGAUUUAUCGGUUUUGGAUGGACUCGCGGCCUAUCAGCUUGUUGGUGAGGUAAUAGCUCACCAAGGCGAUGACGGGUAGCCGGCCUGANAGGGUGACCGGCCACACUGGGACUGAGACACGGCCCANACUCCUACGGGAGGCAGCAGUGGGGAAUAUUGCACAAUGGGCGAAAGCCUGAUGCANCGACGCCGCGUGCGGGAUGACGGCCUUCGGGUUGUAAACCGCUUUCAGCAGGGAAGAAGCGCAAGUGACGGUACCUGCAGAAGAAGCGCCGGCUAACUACGUGCCAGCAGCCGCGGUAAUACGUAGGGCGCGAGCGUUAUCCGGAAUUAUUGGGCGUAAAGAGCUCGUAGGCGGUUUGUCACGUCUGCUGUGAAAGCCCGGGGCUCAACCCCGGGUGUGCAGUGGGUACGGGCAGACUANAGUGCAGUAGGGGAGACUGGAAUUCCUGGUGUAGCGGUGAAAUGCGCAGAUAUCAGG